This 940-nucleotide ribosomal RNA is filed under the name Microbacterium sp. RNAcentral describes it as "bacterial SSU rRNA". It matches the Rfam family "Bacterial small subunit ribosomal RNA", at positions 39 to 990 of the family's 1533-position model. The record is from RNAcentral. Lineage: Bacteria; Bacillati; Actinomycetota; Actinomycetes; Micrococcales; Microbacteriaceae.
GCAGGCGCAUGCUACCAUGCAGUCGUACGGUGAACACGGAGCUUGCUCUGUGGGAUCAGUGGCGAACGGGUGAGUAACACGUGAGCAACCUGCCCCUGACUCUGGGAUAAGCGCUGGAAACGGCGUCUAAUACUGGAUAUGUGACGUGACCGCAUGGUCUGCGUCUGGAAAGAAUUUCGGUUGGGGAUGGGCUCGCGGCCUAUCAGCUUGUUGGUGAGGUAAUGGCUCACCAAGGCGUCGACGGGUAGCCGGCCUGAGAGGGUGACCGGCCACACUGGGACUGAGACACGGCCCAGACUCCUACGGGAGGCAGCAGUGGGGAAUAUUGCACAAUGGGCGCAAGCCUGAUGCAGCAACGCCGCGUGAGGGAUGACGGCCUUCGGGUUGUAAACCUCUUUUAGCAGGGAAGAAGCGAAAGUGACGGUACCUGCAGAAAAAGCGCCGGCUAACUACGUGCCAGCAGCCGCGGUAAUACGUAGGGCGCAAGCGUUAUCCGGAAUUAUUGGGCGUAAAGAGCUCGUAGGCGGUUUGUCGCGUCUGCUGUGAAAUCCGGAGGCUCAACCUCCGGCCUGCAGUGGGUACGGGCAGACUAGAGUGCGGUAGGGGAGAUUGGAAUUCCUGGUGUAGCGGUGGAAUGCGCAGAUAUCAGGAGGAACACCGAUGGCGAAGGCAGAUCUCUGGGCCGUAACUGACGCUGAGGAGCGAAAGGGUGGGGAGCAAACAGGCUUAGAUACCCUGGUAGUCCACCCCGUAAACGUUGGGAACUAGUUGUGGGGUCCAUUCCACGGAUUCCGUGACGCAGCUAACGCAUUAAGUUCCCCGCCUGGGGAGUACGGCCGCAAGGCUAAAACUCAAAGGAAUUGACGGGGACCCGCACAAGCGGCGGAGCAUGCGGAUUAAUUCGAUGCAACGCGAGAACCUUACCAAGGCUUGACAUAUA